Long non-coding RNA from Anneissia japonica, 719 nucleotides. RefSeq lists it as uncharacterized. NCBI's taxonomy places the organism in Eukaryota, Metazoa, Echinodermata, Crinoidea, Comatulida, Comatulidae. The record is from RefSeq and is a predicted model, not a curated record. The transcript has 2 exons.
AAGUAUUUUUCAAGUCUGAGAGUUCCAUUUCCGGCCACCCCGUAGACAAUAUAUCUUACAGCCGCCACUGGCUAAAGCAACUCGAAGAAUUAAGGCCAGAUGGUCGAAAUCCAGUUUGCCACAUGCCAGUUUGCCGAGACCGCUUUUCCGAAUCCCAGUUUGCUGAGUACUAGUUUGCCGACUCAAUGAAUCCCAGUUGGCUGAAACCCAGUUUGCCGAACCCAGUAUAUAUAAAUCAUGAUAGCUGUUUCACUGUUGGAUACAGAAUCAAUCAUACACAACAUGCAACCUCCUCCACUCCCUGGGGAGUAUUCCUAGUUACGUGUGUAAUCACACCAGUGGCGUAUCUAGAAGUCUUGAAAUGGGGGCUGAUGGUAGGGGGGCGCGAAGGUGAAGUGGGACUCGAUGAUUAGUUGAGUGGCGCUAAUUUGCAAAAUAUGGUGAUUUUAGGUGAUUUUUAACUACGGUACUUGACCAUGAUUUUUGGGGUGACUGGGGGGGCCUGGGGGCGCAAGUAAUUUUUUUGGGGUGGGGGAGUGCGUCCACAAUUUGUGUAUAAAUACAGUAGGUAAAUGGUAAACUAAAAUAUGCAAGCCACAAUAUCACUUUGGUCUUGCUGAUUAAUAUAUUUGGUAGCUGCAUACACAUAUCAUGGAUUGCAUUGGUUAAUGUACGAUUAAAUUGAUUUGAUUGAUUGAUUAAAUGAUGAAAAAUAGUAA